UCGGUCUGGGAUGGGCUCGCGGCCUAUCMGCUUGUUGGUGGGGUAGUGGCCUACCAAGGCMACCACGGGUAGCCGGCCUGAGAGGGCGACCGGCCACACUGGGACUGAGAUACGGCCCAGACUCCUACGGGAGGCAGCAGUGGGGAAUAUUGCACAAUGGGCGCAAGCCUGAUGCAGCGACGCCGCGUGAGGGAUGACGGCCUUCGGGUUGUAAACCUCUUUCAGCAGGGAAGAAGCGCAAGUGACGGUACCUGCAGAAGAAGCGCCGGCUAACUACGUGCCAGCAGCCGCGGUAAUACGUAGGGCGCAAGCGUUGUCCGGAAUUAUUGGGCGUAAAGAGCUCGUAGGCGGUUUGUCGCGUCUGCUGUGAAAACCUAAGGCUCAACCUUGGGCUUGCAGUGGGUACGGGCAGACUAGAGUGCGGUAGGGGUGACUGGAAUUCCUGGUGUAGCGGUGGAAUGCGCAGAUAUCAGGAGGAACACCGAUGGCGAAGGCAGGUCACUGGGCCGCAACUGACGCUGAGGAGCGAAAGCAUGGGGAGCGAACAGGAUUAGAUACCCUGGUAGUCCAUGCCGUAAACGUUGGGCACUAGGUGUGGGGCUCAUUCCACGAGUUCCGUGCCGCAGCAAACGCAUUAAGUGCCCCGGCUGGGGAGUACGGCCGCAAGGCUAAA
This 673-nucleotide ribosomal RNA is filed under the name Cellulomonas sp. 01xTSA28B_E02. RNAcentral describes it as "bacterial SSU rRNA". It matches the Rfam family "Bacterial small subunit ribosomal RNA", at positions 215 to 898 of the family's 1533-position model. Lineage: Bacteria; Bacillati; Actinomycetota; Actinomycetes; Micrococcales; Cellulomonadaceae. The record is from RNAcentral.